RNAcentral lists this ribosomal RNA (465 nucleotides) under uncultured bacterium. Its description in RNAcentral is "partial 16S ribosomal RNA". It matches the Rfam family "Bacterial small subunit ribosomal RNA", at positions 338 to 795 of the family's 1533-position model. The record is from RNAcentral.
CCUACGGGUGGCAGCAGUGGGGAAUAUUGCGCAAUGGGCGAAAGCCUGACGCAGCGACGCCGCGUGAGGGAUGAAGGUCUUCGGAUCGUAAACCUCUGUCAGCAGGGAAGAACGGUCACUGUGCUAAUCAGCAGUGAAUUGACGGUACCUGCAAAGGAAGCACCGGCUAACUCCGUGCCAGCAGCCGCGGUAAUACGGAGGGUGCGAGCGUUAAUCGGAAUUACUGGGCGUAAAGCGCUCGUAGGCGGUAUGUCAAGUCAAGGGUGAAAUCCCCGCGCUCAACGUGGGAACUGCAUUUGAAACUGGCAAACUGGAGUGUGGGAGAGGAUAGUGGAAUUCCAGGUGUAGGAGUGAAAUGCGUAGAUAUCUGGAGGAACAUCAGUGGCGAAGGCGACUAUCUGGCACAUAACUGACGCUGAGGAGCGAAAGCGUGGGUAGCAAACAGGAUUAGAUACCCGAGUAGUC